GCAGUCGUGGCCGAGUGGUUAAGGCGAUGGAAUAGAAAUCCAUUGGAGUUCUCCCCACACAGGUUCGAAUCCAUUCGACUGUG
RNAcentral lists this transfer RNA (83 nucleotides) under Ixodes scapularis (black-legged tick). It matches the Rfam family "tRNA". Rfam says of the family: Transfer RNA (tRNA) molecules are approximately 80 nucleotides in length. Their secondary structure includes four short double-helical elements and three loops (D, anti-codon, and T loops). The record is from Rfam by way of RNAcentral. Lineage: Eukaryota; Metazoa; Arthropoda; Arachnida; Ixodida; Ixodidae.